GAUGAACGCUGGCGGCGUGCCUAAUACAUGCAAGUCGAGCGAACAGACGAGGAGCUUGCUCCUCUGACGUUAGCGGCGGACGGGUGAGUAACACGUGGAUAACCUACCUAUAAUACUGGGAUAACUUCGGGAAACCGGAGCUAAUACCGGAUAAUAUAUUGAACCGCAUGGUUCAAUAGUGAAAGACGGUUUUGCUGUCACUUAUAGAUGGAUCCGCGCCGCAUUAGCUAGUUGGUAAGGUAACGGCUUACCAAGGCAACGAUGCGUAGCCGACCUGAGAGGGUGAUCGGCAACACUGGAACUGAGACACGGUCCAGACUCCUACGGGAGGCAGCAGUAGGGAAUCUUCCGCAAUGGGCGAAAGCCUGACGGAGCAACGCCGCGUGAGUGAUGAAGGUCUUCGGAUCGUAAAACUCUGUUAUUAGGGAAGAACAAAUGUGUAAGUAACUAUGCACGUCUUGACGGUACCUAAUCAGAAAGCCACGGCUAACUACGUG
This 497-nucleotide ribosomal RNA is filed under the name uncultured bacterium. RNAcentral's name for it is "partial 16S ribosomal RNA". It matches the Rfam family "Bacterial small subunit ribosomal RNA", at positions 28 to 507 of the family's 1533-position model. The record is from RNAcentral.